Molecule: ribosomal RNA, 1359 nt
Filed under: metagenome
Description: bacterial LSU rRNA
Rfam family: Bacterial large subunit ribosomal RNA
Source: RNAcentral
GACAGCCAGGAGGUUGGCUUAGAAGCAGCCAUCCUUUAAAGAAAGCGUAACAGCUCACUGGUCAAGUGUUUCUGCGCGGAAGAUUUAACGGGGCUAAGUAUAACACCGAAGCUGUGGACUCGAAAGAGUGGUAGAGGAGCAUUGUAGCAACCGUUGAAGGUGUCUGGUGAUGGAUGCUGGAGGAACUACAAGUGCAUAUGCUAGCAUUAGUAGCGAUAAAGCAAGUGAGAAACUUGCUCGCCGGAAGCCCAAGGUUUCCUGGGAAAGGGUAAUCCUCCCAGGGUUAGUCGGCACCUAAGGCGAGGCCGAAAGGCGUAGUCGAUGGACAAUAGGUUAAUAUUCCUAUACCUGACAGUGAAGUGAUGCAGGGGUGAAGGAAGGUAGUCAUGCCAGUUAUUGGAUUCUGGUUCAAGCAUGUAGGAUGAUUCUCUUGGCAAAUCCGGAGAGUCUUAAGUCCGAGAUGUGAUGUGGUGGUCUUCGGACCUGAAGAUGAUGAUCCUCUACUUACAAGAAAAGCUGCUAAACGUUGAAGCUGUUAGACCGUACUGCAAACCAACUCAGGUGGGCAGGGAGAGAAUCCUAAGGCGUUUGAGUGAAACAUGGUUAAGGAACUCGGCAAAUUGACACCGUAACUUCGGGAUAAGGUGUGCCAGCAGUGUGUAAAGAUUUACUCUUGAAGCAUAGUCUGGUUGCAGAGACCAGGGGGUAGCGACUGUUUACCAAAAACAUAGCACUACGCAAAAUCGCAAGAUGAAGUAUGUGGUGUGACGCCUGCCCGGUGCUGGAAGGUUAANAGGAGGNGUUAGUCUUCGGGCGAAGCUNCGAAUUGAAGCCCCAGUAAACGGCGGCCGUAACNAUAACGGUCCUAAGGUAGCGAAAUUCCUUGUCGGGUAAGUUCCGACCUGCACUGAAUGGCGUAACGANNUCCCCGCUGUCUCAACCNUGUGCUCAGCGAAUUUGAAAACCGCGUGCAGAUGCGCGGUACCCGCAGCAAGACGGAAAGACCCCGUGAACCUUUACUAUAGCUUGACACUGAUAUUCGGGUUUACUUGUGUAGCAUAGGUGGGAGGCUUUGAAGCAGAAACGCUAGUUUUUGUGGAGCCGACAGUGAAAUACCACCCUGGUGAAUCUGGAUGUCUAACCUGGUCCCCUUAUCGGGGAUGGAGACAGUGUCUGGUGGGUAGUUUGACUGGGGCGGUCGCCUCCUAAAGAGUAACGGAGGCGCGCAAUGGUUCCCUCAGGCCGGAUAGAAAUCGGUCGUAGAGUGCAAACGCAUAAGGGAGCUUAACUGCAAGACCUACAAGUCGAGCAGAUACGAAAGUAGGCGUUAGUGACCCGGUGGCUCCGCAUGGAAGGGCC